CCGGUCCCGCGGCCCGUGUCCACCACGACCAAGCCGCGCCCGCAGUUCGCCGAGGUCGGCUUCGUGUGAGCGAGGCCGGGCCGGAGCGAGCGAGCUAACAUUUCCACUUGUGCCCGGCGUGUCUUCCCUUCAGCGUGGGGGUCAUUUCUCCGUUCGUGUUGUUCUAAUUCGUGGUGGAAGACGAGACGAUGCAGCAGCAGCAGCAGCGUUCGUCCGGUGAGUGAGUGUGGGUGGUGUGUCAGUCCGUGGUGUGGUAUUGGUCGCCGGAGGGGUGGGUGUCGUGUCGUCUCCCCCGGCGACGGUGUAUCCCUCUGUAUCUCUGUCAGCUCGCACACAAUGCAUUGCCACUUAGUCCAUCAUUUCAAUUCCUUCCACCAGGCGCCUGCUCCAGCGUGUGUAUUGAUUGAUGCUCUUCGCAGUUCAUUCCAAAGCGUGAAUCACAUUGAUUUUUGUUGUUGCUCCAUCUUCCUUUUGACCUCCAUCUCCCAUGAUUUUUGGCUGUAAAUCUGUUGUGAUGUGAAAACUUACUGCUCUCCAGCAGUAGCUGUUAAAAUGCAUUUGCAAGUAAGUCGUAGUCAUUCUUGAUGCUCCAUUUCCCGCAUGAUUUCAGCUACAUUUUGCUUGCAUCUACAUGUGGGGGGGGGGGGGGGGUGUGUGUGCCCAAUGGAGCUUCUUGUCCAUUCUGCAAGGACAAGGAUCAUCACGCAUGAUAUGCCUUGCCUUUGCUGCACGACAGAGUCGGGUG
RNAcentral lists this long non-coding RNA (745 nucleotides) under Hordeum vulgare. RNAcentral's name for it is "long non-coding RNA (HVUL_LNC021700)". Lineage: Eukaryota; Viridiplantae; Streptophyta; Magnoliopsida; Poales; Poaceae. The record is from RNAcentral.